AUGUUCUUGAAAUUCAAAGAAUCUGGCGGUAUUUUAGUCUAUUCAGAGGAACCUGUCCUAUAAUUGAUAAUCCACGAUUAAUUGUACUUAUUUUCAGUUUGUAUAUCGUCGUAGGUGGAAUGUUUUUAGAGAAUAGGGAAUGUUCAAGAUUUAUAUGUAUUUAUAAAGAAAAUCAGAUCAAGAUACAGCGUAUAAAUAAGAAGAGAUGGGUUACAAUAAAUUUAUUUAGAUGGUUAAAAUAUUUAACAAUAUUUUAUAAAGUGGAUUUGAUAGUAAUAUAAUCUAGUUAGAUUGUAUGAUUUUAGCUCUAGAAUAUGUACAUAUCGCCCGUCGCUCCUUCUACAAAGAAGGAUAAGUCGUAACAUAGUAGGUGUACUGGAAAGUGUACCUAGAAUGGCAAAUUAGAGCUUGGUUAAAAAGCAUUUUAUUUACAUUAAAAAGUUAGUUGUGAGAAUCAAUUUAAUUUGAAAGGUAAAAUUUAUUGGUUAAUUUUAAAAAAAAUAUUUUUUAUAGGGGUAUAUUUUAGAAUCUAGGAAUUUAAUUAUAGUGAAUAGUAUAGUGAUAGAAUAAUUAAUUAAUUUUGAUAUGUAUUUACUUUAAAGAAAAAUUAAUUUUUUGUACCUUGUGUAUCAGGGUUUAUUAAAAUAAGUUAAUAAUUUAAUUUUCUCGAAUUAAAAAGAGCUAUAACUUUAUAAAUUUAAUUGUGGCAUAAAUUUUUAUAAUAUGGUUAUAGAAAUGAAACGUUAGUCGUUUUUUAAGAUAUCUAGUUUCUUAAGAAAUAAAUUUAAUUUAGUUUUUUAGUUUUAAUUAAUUAAUUAUUUAGUUGAUUAAAAUAAGAAGGAAAUAUUUUAAGGGAUAAGCUUUAAAAUAGAGUAUUAAAAAUAAUUUUUAUUAGUUGAAAAUUUAUAGGAUUGGAAAUGUUUAUUGAUAGUUUGUUAUAAUUAAUUUUUAAUUGAAUAAGAUUUAUAUGAGUAUUUUAAGUUGUUUAUUAAGAUAAUAUAUUAAAUUUUAAUUUAUAUGUAAUAAUGAUAAAAUUAGUAUAGUUUAUUGUAUAAAGUAGUUUAAGAUUAAGGUUAAGUUAAGGAACUCGGCAAAUCUACUUUUCGCCUGUUUAUUAAAAACAUGUCUUUUUGAUUAUAAUUUAAAGUCUAACCUGCCCAAUGAGGAGUUAAAUGGCCGCGGUACUUUGACCGUGCAAAGGUAGCAUAAUCAUUAGUUUUUUAAUUGAAAGCUGGAAUGAACGGUUGGACGAGAAAGUGACUGUCUCAAUUUAAUUUAAAUUAGAAUUUUAUUUUUAAGUAAAAAAGCUUAUAUGAAUUUAAAAGACGAGAAGACCCUAUAGAAUUUUAUAUUUUUUUAUAGUUAUUAUUAUUGGUAUAGAAAGUUUUAGAUAUAGAAAAGUAUUUUGUUGGGGCGAUAGAAAAAUUAAAUAAACUUUUUUUAUAUAAUUCCAUUAAUUUAU
This 1462-nucleotide ribosomal RNA is filed under the name Oryctoderus sp. NLG-2014. RNAcentral describes it as "partial 16S ribosomal RNA". The record is from RNAcentral. Lineage: Eukaryota; Metazoa; Arthropoda; Insecta; Coleoptera; Scarabaeidae.